RNAcentral lists this ribosomal RNA (253 nucleotides) under uncultured bacterium. RNAcentral's name for it is "partial 16S ribosomal RNA". It matches the Rfam family "Bacterial small subunit ribosomal RNA", at positions 524 to 776 of the family's 1533-position model. The record is from RNAcentral.
UACGUAGGGUGCGAGCGUUGUCCGGAAUUAUUGGGCGUAAAGAGCUCGUAGGCGGUUUGUUGCGUCGGCCGUGAAAACCUGCAGCUUAACUGUGGGCCUGCGGCUGAUACGGGCAGACUUGAGUUCGGUAGGGGAGACUGGAAUUCCUGGUGUAGCGGUGAAAUGCGCAGAUAUCAGGAGGAACACCGGUGGCGAAGGCGGGUCUCUGGGCCGAUACUGACGCUGAGGAGCGAAAGCGUGGGGAGCGAACAGG